Molecule: non-coding RNA, 46 nt
Organism: Trichobilharzia regenti
Lineage: Eukaryota; Metazoa; Platyhelminthes; Trematoda; Strigeidida; Schistosomatidae
Source: Rfam
GUACUGAUGAAGAGUCCCAAACUAGGACGAAAAAGCUGUCCAGUAC